Molecule: ribosomal RNA, 807 nt
Filed under: Triticum aestivum (bread wheat)
Lineage: Eukaryota; Viridiplantae; Streptophyta; Magnoliopsida; Poales; Poaceae
Description: partial small subunit ribosomal RNA
Source: RNAcentral
AUGGCAAGGGGGCGCGGGACGGGUCCGGUCUCACGCCGGCGCCCGCCGAAGGCGGUCCGCGGCGGCGGCGAAGACAGGAUCAGCGCCCUCCCCGACGAUCUCCUCCUCCUCAUCCUGCGCCGCGUCGACACCCGCACGACGCUCGGCACUGCGUUGCUGUCCAGGCGCUGGUCCCGCCUUCCCCCCGAGCUCCCCGCCAUGGACUUCAGUGUCUUCGACGUGCUCCCGGAGCGCUACUGCCGCUGGCUCCGCCUCCAUCUCCGGCUCGCCGACGCCACGGAUGAGGAGAGGGUCGUGGCUAACUUGAUGAUGUACGAGCGCCGCGCCAUGCGCGCCCUGACCAGCUUCAUCAAGAGCCGCCUCUUGCUGGACGCUCCCCCGAGGCUCCGCCGGCUGAGGCUCCAGUUCUUCUCCGCCGGCAAUAACAGCGGCCUCAUCAACCAUCGAGAAACCGUGCAACGAGAUUUGUUUGAGACAAAAAAAGGCUACCAGACCAUGUGUGUGUGCACGAGAGCAGUUUUGUGGGUGGACCAAGUUUGGUCCUGUUCUGCUAAGGCCAUCGACGACUGGGGGGUCAGCAAUCUGGAGGCCGUCGCCGCGCCGUUCUACACGCAACCGGCCACCGCCCACGCUUUUCCCAGCCACGGCCUCUGCGAGCAUCCCCGCGCGUCGCGCCUGCGGAAGCUCAAGCUCGGGGGCUGCGCCGCGCUCCCGCUGCUGCACGAGUACGACACGCUUACCAAGCUCGUCCAGCAAGACAUGCCGGAAUCGGUGCCCGUCGCGGCCUACGAGACUCAAGUGGUUUGA